Molecule: non-coding RNA, 442 nt
Organism: Kogia breviceps (pygmy sperm whale)
Lineage: Eukaryota; Metazoa; Chordata; Mammalia; Artiodactyla; Physeteridae
Source: RefSeq, a predicted model, not a curated record
GUGGCCUGGAUGGAACUGAUGCGCAGGCGGUUGGCUGUGUCCUUCAGGGCCUGCAGCUUCUGCUGGUCUGGCUUAUGCUUUUCAAAAACCCGGCUUCAUCUUUAGAGGAAACCCCGUGGCUGGAUUUCUAGCUGCUCAUCCAGGAAAGACAGGCUGGUUCUUGUAGCUCUGACAAACACAGAAGCCUCAGCAAUUUCUAACUCACACACUUACUCAAAGACCAGAUGCCUGGCACAUAUGACAGCUCAAUACACAUGAACUGAGUGAAUCUGAGAAGUGACCUGGACGGUUAAGUCCCCUGUAAAACAGUGUUUUUGGUCAUGAUUAGACCUGUACCCUCCAACUGGGGAAAACUCAGAGGAAUAAAUGGAGUUGUUUUGUUCUCUCACCUCACUCCCUCUCAGCAGUAGGAGGCUCUGGCAAAGUGUAGCAACACAUUCAA